UGUCACCCAGGCUUGAGUACAGUAGUGCUAUCACAGCUCACUGCAGCCUUGAACUCCUGGGCUAAGGAUCCUCCUACCUGAGCCUCCUGAGUAGCUGGGACUGUAGGGUCUCCCUCUGUUGUCCAAGGCUGGAGUGUAGUAGUGCUAUCACAGCUGACUGCAGCCUCAACCUUCCAGGCUGAAGCGAUCCUCCCAUCUCAACCUCCCACGUGGCUGAGACUACAGGUGCUUGCCACUAUGCCCAACUAAUAUUUGGAAUUUUC
Molecule: long non-coding RNA, 263 nt
Filed under: Homo sapiens (human)
Lineage: Eukaryota; Metazoa; Chordata; Mammalia; Primates; Hominidae
Description: HSALNT0122730
Source: RNAcentral